UACGAAGGGGGCUAGCGUUGCUCGGAAUUACUGGGCGUAAAGCGCACGUAGGCGGCUUUCUAAGUCGGGGGUGAAAUCCUGGGCUCAACUCCAGAACUGCCUUCGAUACUGGAAAGCUCGAGUCCGGGAGAGGUGAGUGGAACUGCGAGUGUAGAGGUGAAAUUCGUAGAUAUUCGCAAGAACACCAGUGGCGAAGGCGGCUCACUGGCCCGGUACUGACGCUGAGGUGCGAAAGCGUGGGGAGCAAACAGG
RNAcentral lists this ribosomal RNA (252 nucleotides) under uncultured bacterium. Its description in RNAcentral is "partial 16S ribosomal RNA". It matches the Rfam family "Bacterial small subunit ribosomal RNA", at positions 524 to 776 of the family's 1533-position model. The record is from RNAcentral.